This 519-nucleotide ribosomal RNA is filed under the name Scutiger tuberculatus (round-tubercled cat-eyed toad). RNAcentral's name for it is "partial 16S ribosomal RNA". It matches the Rfam family "Bacterial large subunit ribosomal RNA", at positions 1917 to 2606 of the family's 2925-position model. The record is from RNAcentral. Lineage: Eukaryota; Metazoa; Chordata; Amphibia; Anura; Megophryidae.
UUUAUGUUUAACGGCCGCGGUACUCUGACCGUGCAAAGGUAGCGUAAUCACUUGUCUUUUAAAUAAGGACUAGUAUGAAUGGCAUCACGAGGACUUAGCUGUCUCCCUCAUCUAAUCAGUGAAACUGAUCUCCCUGUGAAAAAGCAGGGAUUUACACAUAAGACGAGAAGACCCUAUGGAGCUUUAAACCAAAAACUACCUGUUUAAUCUACUGUGUUAAGAUAGUACUAAAACAACUGAUCUAGUUUAGGUUUUCAGUUGGGGUGACUGUGGAGAAAAAUAAAUCCUCCAUGCAGACUUAAGCUUUGAGCAGCCGCUCUACGCAUUAGCAAGUCUAACUGCACUUGAUCCAAUCUUUUUGAUCAACGGACCAAGUUACCCUAGGGAUAACAGCGCAAUCCAUUUUAAGAGUCCAUAUCGACAAAUGGGUUUACGACCUCGAUGUUGGAUUAGGACACCCGAGUGGUGCAGCCGCUACUUAAGGUUCGUUUGUUCAACGAUUAAAGUCCUACGUGAUCU